RNAcentral lists this ribosomal RNA (445 nucleotides) under uncultured bacterium. RNAcentral describes it as "partial 16S ribosomal RNA". It matches the Rfam family "Bacterial small subunit ribosomal RNA", at positions 354 to 796 of the family's 1533-position model. The record is from RNAcentral.
GUGAGGAAUAUUGGACAAUGGGCGCAAGCCUGAUCCAGCCAUGCCGCGUGCAGGAAGACGCAUCUAUGGUGUGUAAACUGCUUUUGUACGGGAAGAAACACUCCCUCGUGAGGGAGCUUGACGGUACCGUAAGAAUAAGGAUCGGCUAACUCCGUGCCAGCAGCCGCGGUAAUACGGAGGAUCCAAGCGUUAUCCGGCAUCAUUGGGUUUAAAGGGUCCGUAGGCGGUGUAAUAAGUCAGUGGUGAAAGCCCAUCGCUCAACGAUGGAACGGCCAUUGAUACUGUUAGACUUGAAUUACAAGGAAGUAACUAGAAUAUGUAGUGUAGCGGUGAAAUGCUUAGAUAUUACAUGGAAUACCAAUUGCGAAGGCAGGUUACUACUUGUGGAUUGACGCUGAUGGACGAAAGCGUGGGGAGCGAACAGGAUUAGAAACCCUAGUAGUCC